GACGAACGCUGGCGGCGUGCUUAACACAUGCAAGUCGAACGAAGAGCGAUGGAAGCUUGCUUCUAUCAAUCUUAGUGGCGAACGGGUGAGUAACGCGUAAUCAACCUGCCCUUCAGAGGGGGACAACAGUUGGAAACGACUGCUAAUACCGCAUACGAUCUAACCUCGGCAUCGAGGAUAGAUGAAAGGUGGCCUCUACAUGUAAGCUAUCACUGCAGGAGGGGGUUGCGUCUGAUUAGCUAGUUGGAGGGGUAACGGCCCACCAAGGCGAUGAUCAGUAGCCGGUCUGAGAGGAUGAACGGCCACAUUGGGACUGAGACACGGCCCAGACUCCUACGGGAGGCAGCAGUGGGGAAUCUUCCGCAAUGGACGAAAGUCUGACGGAGCAACGCCGCGUGAGUGAUGACGGCCUUCGGGUUGUAAAGCUCGGUUAAUCGGGACGAAAGGCCUUCUUGCGAAUAGUUAGAAGGAUUGACGGUACCGGAAUAGAAAGCCACGGCUAACUACGUG
Molecule: ribosomal RNA, 510 nt
Filed under: uncultured bacterium
Lineage: Bacteria
Description: partial 16S ribosomal RNA
Rfam family: Bacterial small subunit ribosomal RNA
Source: RNAcentral